UUGACCUGCCCCUAAAAAACUUACUGAUCCGCCGUUUUCUAAAGAGAUCAAAGAAAAAAGCAAAAAAAAAGAAGAUACAAAGACAAAACAAGGCUGACCUGAACACCUAAGAGACCUAGGGAGCUAAGGAAAAAGCUGAAAAAGAAAACCUAGACUCCGAAGAAACAAUAAUGCCGUAUAACUCCAAAAGAAGACCCCCCCUUCAUCGUCUCCUUCAAUAAAAAACGAGAAAAUCUGCCAUGGCUUCAUCCUAGCCCAGAACAAACAACCAUUUCACAAACAGACGUUAAAUCAUCAAAAAUAGUUUGAGUUUAAGUGAUGUCUCCGUUUGAACUCCGGCGAGCUUUACGGCGAGUUUUCCAUGAUCUCGUCAUGGUUCUAUCGUAGCUCUGUCUAAAGUUCUAGUGAGGUCCUCAUUCAUCCGCGAUCUGGAUCCGGCGAGUUUUUGAACUCUGGUUGACCUCCUGUUCCCCGUCGAGUAGUAGUCGGCAUUUUUCUCCUGUAAUUCAACCUUGGAAAUUUAUUUUAUCAAUGUUGAAGAAAGUUUAUCCUAAGAGAAUCUGAGGCAGGUACAUCUGGUUACCAGUCCGGUAUGCAUAUUUGAUCCCCCUACAAGACUACACGAUGAGUUGCCCUUCCGAGCUGUACUGCAGCAACUAAAGUCUUCCUUUUGUUAUAUAUACCUGUCUAUUUCAUUUCAGACGAUAGACUAGUAAUCUUUUGUAUAUGUUGCUAGAAUUGCCCAUACACUUGUGACUCUGGGUCUUGGCACAUGCUAGUAGACUCUUGAUUUU
Molecule: non-coding RNA, 794 nt
Organism: Nicotiana tabacum (common tobacco)
Lineage: Eukaryota; Viridiplantae; Streptophyta; Magnoliopsida; Solanales; Solanaceae
Source: RefSeq, a predicted model, not a curated record